Halorientalis sp. IM1011 is the source of this 82-nucleotide non-coding RNA. The record is from Rfam. NCBI's taxonomy places the organism in Archaea, Methanobacteriati, Methanobacteriota, Halobacteria, Halobacteriales, Haloarculaceae.
GGUGAGACACGCAGACAGGUGACUGCGCUCGCCUUGAAAGCGAGAGCCGUCAGGCUUCUGAGUUCGACUCUCAGUCUCACCG